GGGGCUAUAGCUCAGCUGGGAGAGCGCCUGCCUUGCACGCAGGAGGUCUGCGGUUC
Molecule: transfer RNA, 56 nt
Organism: Oceanospirillum linum
Lineage: Bacteria; Pseudomonadati; Pseudomonadota; Gammaproteobacteria; Oceanospirillales; Oceanospirillaceae
Rfam family: tRNA
About the family: Transfer RNA (tRNA) molecules are approximately 80 nucleotides in length. Their secondary structure includes four short double-helical elements and three loops (D, anti-codon, and T loops).
Source: Rfam